This 500-nucleotide ribosomal RNA is filed under the name uncultured bacterium. RNAcentral describes it as "partial 16S ribosomal RNA". It matches the Rfam family "Bacterial small subunit ribosomal RNA", at positions 29 to 523 of the family's 1533-position model. The record is from RNAcentral.
AUUGAACGCUGGCGGCAUGCCUUACACAUGCAAGUCGAACGGCAGCACGGGAGCAAUCCUGGUGGCGAGUGGCGAACGGGUGAGUAAAGUAUCGGAAGGUGCCCAGUCGUGGGGGGGAACGUAGCGACAGGUACGCUAAUACAGCAUACGCACUAUGGCUGAAAGCGGGGGAGCGCAAGUCCGCCAGCGACUGGCGCGGCCGAUAUCAGAUUAGGUAGGUGGUGGGGGAAAGGCUCACCAAGCCGACGAUCUUUAGCUGGUCUGAGAGGACGACCAGCCACACUGGGACUGAGACACGGCCCAGACUCCUACGGGAGGCAGCAGUGGGGAAUUUUGGACAAUGGGCGAAAGCCUGAUCCAGCCAUGCCGCGUGUAGGAUGAAGGCCUUCGGGUUGUAAACUGCUUUUGUACGGAACGAAAAGGUUUGGCCUAAUAAGCUGAGCUAAUGACGGUACCGUAAGAAUAAGCACCGGCUAACUACGUGCCAGCCGCCGCCGUAA